Molecule: ribosomal RNA, 166 nt
Filed under: uncultured bacterium
Lineage: Bacteria
Description: partial 16S ribosomal RNA
Rfam family: Bacterial small subunit ribosomal RNA
Source: RNAcentral
CAGCAGUUAAGAAUAUUUCGCAAUGGACGAAAGUCUGACGGAGCGACGCCGCGUGGAUGAAGAAGGCCGUGAGGUUGUAAAAUCCUUUUGUCGAGGAAGAAUAAGUAUGGUAGGGAAUGCCUGUAUAAUGACAUUAGUCGAUGAAUAAGCCCCGGCUAACUACGUG